Rana temporaria (common frog) is the source of this 1056-nucleotide long non-coding RNA. RefSeq lists it as uncharacterized. The transcript has 2 exons. The record is from RefSeq and is a predicted model, not a curated record. NCBI's taxonomy places the organism in Eukaryota, Metazoa, Chordata, Amphibia, Anura, Ranidae.
UACCGGAACCGGCCCUAAAAGAGAGUAAGGACACCAUCCAGAUAACAUUCCUGUUGGAUAAUAAACUAAGAACCUUACUGCUGCAAGGCAAGCCUAAAGAAGGUAAUGUUUUAUUAUUAUUAUUAUUAUUAUUAUUAUUAUAAUACAGGAUUUAUAAAGUGCUGACAAUUUACGCAGCGCUUUACAACAGAAAAUUUAGGGAGUCCUGCUCGUUAAAGCUUACAAUCUAAGAGGUAGGUUUAUGGGCCGAUGGAGAAUGUACAGUUGUCAGGUGGGGGCCAGAUAGGCUUCUCUAAAGAUAUGUGUUUUCAGGGAUCGUCUGAAAGUGGAAAAAGUAGGAGACAGUCGAACAGAUUGGGGAGGAGCAUUCCAGAGGAUGGGAGAGGCUCUGGAGAAGUCCCAGAGGCGAGUGUGGAAUAAGGUGACAAAGGAGGUAGAGGGCAGGAGGUCUUGGGGGGAACUAAGAGAACAAUUUGGUUGGUACUUUGAGAUUGGUUAGUAAUGUAGAUGGUGGCCAAGUUGUGGAUGGCUUUGUAAGUUAUUGUUAGUAUCUUGAAUUUAAUUUGUUGGGUGAGUGGUAGCCAAUGGAGGGAUUGGCAAAGAGGGGUAGCAGAUGCAGAGCGGUUCGUAAGGUGGAUGAGCCUGGCAGCAGCAUUCCUGAUGGACUGAAGGGGGGAUAACCUAUUUAAAGGUAAGCCAAUGAGGUGGGAGUUGCAGUAGCUGAAUUGAGAGAUGACCAGGUAGUGGAUUAGAAGCUUUGUGGUGACAUUAGUUAGGAAGGGGCUUAUCUUGGAGUUGUUGCAGAGGUUGAGGUGGCAAGCUUUCUACAGUGGUUGGAUGUGGGAAUGAAAGGAUAGUUCAGAGUCCAGGAUUACACCUAGGACCUUGGCAUGGGGGGACAGUCUGAUAGUUGAGCUGUUGAUUUUGACAGAAAAAUCAGGGGAAGAGGCACGUGGGGAAGGAAAUGUUAUGAGCUUGGUUUUGAAUUGGUUGAGUUUGCUGAAGUGAUGUUACAUCCAGGCUGAUAUAUCUGUUAGUAAGUUGGUGAUGUGUGAG